RNAcentral lists this ribosomal RNA (381 nucleotides) under uncultured eukaryote. Its description in RNAcentral is "SSU rRNA". It matches the Rfam family "Eukaryotic small subunit ribosomal RNA", at positions 587 to 972 of the family's 1831-position model. The record is from RNAcentral.
AGCUCCAAUAGCGUAUAUUAAAGUUGUUGCAGUUAAAAAGCUCGUAGUCGGAUUUCGGGGUGGCCGUGUCGGUCUGCCGAUGGGUAUGCACUGACGGGGUCGCUCUUCCGCUUGGCGACCGCGCCUACUCUUAACUGAGCGGGCGUGGGAGGCAGGCCGUUUACUUUGAGAAAAUCAGAGUGUUCAAAGCAGGCGCACGCUCUUGCAUGGAUUAGCAUGGGAUAAUGAAAUAGGACUCCGGUACUAUUUUGUUGGUUUCGAGCACACGGAGUAAUGAUCAACAGGGACAGUCAGGGGCGCUCGUAUUCCGUCGAGAGAGGUGAAAUUCUUAGACCGGCGGAGGACGAACCACUGCGAAAGCAUUCGCCAGGGAUGUUUUCA